CUGAUGGCGGCCGUGCAGCUGGUGGAGUCCGGAGGGGGACAACAGACACCCGGGGGGUCCCUCACCCUCCGCUGCAAGGCCUCCGGCUUCACCUUCAGCAGCGUCGAGAUGGACUGGGUGCGACAGGCCCCCGGGAAGGGGCUGGAGUGGGUCGCGGGUAUUUACACUGAUGGUAGCACCUUCUACGCGCCGUCGGUCAAGGGGCGCUUCACCAUCUCCAGGGACAACUCCCAGAGCACGCUCACGCUGCAGAUGAACAGCCUCCGGGACGACGACACGGCCACCUACUACUGCACGAAACGUAGUGGUGUUGAUUAUGGUGCUGGUAAUGCUGAUGGUGAUGCUUAUGGUGGUGGCACCAACCCCAGCCCCAUGGAACAACAUCCCUGUGCUGUGUCUCCAAAUCAACACUUCUUGGCCCAGAUCUGA
Molecule: non-coding RNA, 429 nt
Organism: Chroicocephalus ridibundus (black-headed gull)
Lineage: Eukaryota; Metazoa; Chordata; Aves; Charadriiformes; Laridae
Source: the annotation of a RefSeq genome assembly